AUGAAGAACGUAGCGAAAUGCGAUAAGUAAUGUGAAUUGCAGAAUUCAGUGAAUCAUCGAAUCUUUGAACGCACCUUGCGCCCUUUGGCCAUUCCGAAGGGCAUGCCUGUUUGAGUAUCAUGAACACCUCAACUCUUCAUGGUUUUCCAUGAUGAGCUUGGACUUUGGGGGUCUUGCUGGCCUGUGGGUCGGCUCCUCUCAAAUGAAUCAGCUUGCCGGUUUUUGGUGGGCAUCACAGGUGUGAUAACUAUCUACGCUUGUGGUUUUCCACCAGGGUAACCUUCAGCAGUGGAGGUUCACUGGAGCUUACAAAUGUCUCUCCUCUGUGAGGACAGCCCUUUGAAUGUUUGAUCUCAAAUCAGGUAGGACUACCCGCUGAACUUAAGCAUAUCAAUAAGCGGAGGA
This 405-nucleotide unclassified non-coding RNA is filed under the name soil metagenome. RNAcentral describes it as "partial contains 5.8S ribosomal RNA, internal transcribed spacer 2, and large subunit ribosomal RNA". The stretch from base 1 to 120 matches the Rfam family "5.8S ribosomal RNA", at positions 36 to 154 of the family's 154-position model. The record is from RNAcentral.